This 349-nucleotide ribosomal RNA is filed under the name uncultured bacterium. RNAcentral describes it as "bacterial SSU rRNA". It matches the Rfam family "Bacterial small subunit ribosomal RNA", at positions 30 to 379 of the family's 1533-position model. The record is from RNAcentral.
AUUGAACGCUGGCGGCAUGCCUUACACAUGCAAGUCGAACGGCAGCACGGGAGCAAUCCUGGUGGCGAGUGGCGAACGGGUGAGUAAUACAUCGGAACGUGCCCAAUCGUGGGGGAUAACGCAGCGAAAGCUGUGCUAAUACCGCAUAAGAUCUACGGAUGAAAGCAGGGGAUCGCAAGACCUUGCGCGAAUGGAGCGGCCGAUGGCAGAUUAGGUAGUUGGUGAGGUAAAGGCUCACCAAGCCUUCGAUCUGUAGCUGGUCUGAGAGGACGACCAGCCACACUGGGACUGAGACACGGCCCAGACUCCUACGGGAGGCAGCAGUGGGGAAUUUUGGACAAUGGGGGGC